AAAUAAACUGGCAUUCUAGUCAAGUUAGAUGAGAGGUUAAAAAAGAAAUCUAACUUGAAUGGUCCCAGGAAACCGUAUUUACAGUAAUCUCAAAUGAAGAGAAUUUGAUUGCAUUAAAGUACAUGUUGUCACAAAUCCGAUUUUUGGAGUAGAUUUUAAGACUUUGUAAGACAUGGCAUGAAGGUAGUUUGGCAGUCAGGAGAAUAAAUGAGAUUUAAAAAAUCUCUCUAAUGGUUAUAAGACCUUUAGGAAAUAUGAAAUCUAGGAUUUCAGAGAACUAAUUGGAGAUAGGGUUAUAAAGGUGAGAGUCCAGGAAAGUACCUGGGUGAGUAUUAAUGUUCUAGCCAGUCUUGGAAAUCACUUCCCUGGAAAAUGGUCCAGACCUGACCUGUAAUUAGGUGAUUUUCAAGCCGUCUUUUCUCAGCCGCUCCAUAACUUAAGGCCUGGAUCACAUUCACCACUUGGUUGAAUAGGCCCAUUUUCUCCCGCCUCCACCAUCGUUGGUCUUACUAAGAAUACGUGAUUCAUAGAUCCAGUUAAUAAAAUGAAUUCUAAUGGUGAUGGUCCUGGCUUUUGAAAUUUAACAGAUAACUUUUCAUCUUUGGUGCAGAACUGCAAUAGAAGUGUUUUCAUGUGAACGCUAAAUGCGUUAAGUCUAGAAAUAUAUUUCCUGUUGUUUAUUCGUUCACUUAGCAAACAUUUGUUGAGUCACUGCUAUGAGCCAGUCACUAAACUAAUUGCUGGGAAGGGAGCAAUAUGGCCUGUAAUCUCACUUCCUUGAGAUAGUGAUUCAAAUGUCACCUGUUAGAGGACUUCCCUGACCGUUUCAUAAACAUAGUCUAACAGCCCUGCCCCCAGCUCUCCCUGCCCUGCUCACUCUGCUUAUUAUUCUCUGUGACACUUUUCACCAUCCUCCACACUACUUACUUCUUUUGAACAUUUUCCCGCCUCAUUUGGAUAGGACCUUUAUUUUUAUUAUUUUUAUUUUUAUUUAUUUUUUAUUUAUUUAUUUUUUUGUCUUAUUGGGGCCGUACCCGCCACAUAUGGAGGUUCCCAGGCUAGGGGUCUAAUUGGAGCUGUAGCCUCUGGCCUACGCCACAACCACAGCAACGCUGGAUCCUUAACCCACUGAGCAAAGCCGGGGAUCGAACCCACAAUCUCAUGGUUCCUAGUGGAUUCGUUUCCACUGUGCCACAGUGGGAACUCCAGGACCUUUAUUUUUUAUAACAGUUCCUGGCGUCUGUACAUUCAUUGAAUGUGUACACAGGGUGGUAGAAGAUGAAGGUGCAAAAUAAUUGCAAGAAGUGCAGCAGCAGAGGUUUGUACAGUCAUGGCUGGGUCACAGCUCAGCCAGUCACCUUACCACGGGGAGGGUUUCUCAGAUGGGUUGUGCUUUGUGCCGAAUGGGAUUUCAUCAGGAUGAAGGAAAAACUGCAUUCCAGAACAGAUUUCAGAGGUACUUAGAAGUUCCAUUUGCCCAGAUUUGGUGGUAGGACUUGGGAGUGGAUUUAUGUCCCCAGUUAAAGAUGACUCAUGGAGGACUGGACUUAGCUUUUCUGGCACGAGUGAGUGGAGAGACGGAGGUGAGCAGAUAGAUGCUGGAAGGGAAGCACAUCCACCUCCUUCCCCUGGGACGUGACUUCCGUUUGGGAUGAGUUACAUUUCUGAUGCCAAUAGACUGUUCCUCAUUACACGUCUGGGUGUGGAGCUCGUAAAGAGAGGUGGGAUUGAAUCCAGACUUGGGGGGAGUCAUCAUCAUAUAUGAUGAUGGGCCUUAUCAUCAAGCCCCGUGCACAAAUAAAGCACCAUCCGCAGACAGCAGGAAGACGAACAGCCUCAAGGUAGAGCCCCAAGGAAGGCCACAUCUAAGAGCUGGUCAGAGAAUGAAGAAUCAGAAGGGAAAUCUGAGAACAGGGUUUUGGAGGGUAGGAAGAUAACACGGGGAGCUGAUGGCUAGCUAAUGAAGAGGUGAUCAUUUUAGGGGAGGGUGGAUGACUUGUCAUUUGUCCGAGAGAAUUCGUUAGGAUGGGCACUAAAGGAUACUGUUGAACUUGACCUGAGAAGUAACAAAUUGUAAAGUUAUGGAGAACAGUUCCAGUGCUGUGGGCAGAGGGGAUCCAGAAACCAAAUGUCAGGGGCUGUGACAUAAAUUAGAGCUGAGAAUGGAUGGGACACACACACACACACACACACACACACCCUCCUGUCCCGGGGGUGGGUGCUCAUCAGUGUCUGAGAAACCCUGAAUUAAAAGAAAUGAGGGCACCUGAGUGUAGACUAUUCUUCAAGAAGUUUGAGAAUGAGGGGAUGGAGAAUGAGAGAGAGGAUAGCCGUGUGGCAGGGAAGGGUGACAUUUUACUCUGAAGUUUGAGAAGCUUUUGCGUGUUGUCAGAUCUGGAGAGGAGAAGAGAGUUUGGCUGAAGUUUUACACUUGGAAAGAGACCGUUGGGGAGCAAAGUCCCAAAGAACGCUGGUGGCAGGUCGUCACCUGAGAAAGAGCAAAGGGAAGUAAGGGUAGGCGGAGGUUUUUUAAAAAAUGAGAACACAGCAGUUGGGAUGGCGUCAAGUAAGCAAUAAGGUUAUCCAAUCAUGUGAAGAAAUCAAGAUGGCAGAGCAAGGCUAAGAAGGUGAUUAGAAGCUUGAGACAGCAGCCUUGAGGGGAUGGAAUUAAAAUACUCUAGUGAGUCGUGUCAAGCCCUGAGCUGAACUGGGAAUCUAAUGCAGCGGGUUACGCAGUUUUACUCAGCUGAAAUCUCAGGCCAAGAAGCAAGAGAGAUGAAGGGUCUGGUUGGAAUUCUCCAUAGUGGGACAUUGGCAGAUGGAAUGCAUUGGAAGGUCAGAGGGGAAAGGAAGUUGAGGUUGUGGUGAAUUUGGCUGCACUAUUGCCAGAGUGAUUUCUGAGGGAGGCUGAUGGUCUCGAAGGCCAGAGAGGACUUAAGGGCCUGAGAAGGAUGAGGGGCAGGUUUAAUUGUGGGGUUGGCCAAUGGUAAGGUCAGAGGUGAAAAGAUAACUCGUGGGUAUAGCACUGCAACAAAUGCUUCUGGGUUUGCAGAGAGCCCAGAAAUCUAGCACAACUGGAAGAGCAGGGCUGCGAAUCCACACGUGGUACAUACUUUGUGAAAUUCCUGAAACUUCAGAGAGAAAAAAAAAAAA
This 3153-nucleotide long non-coding RNA is filed under the name Sus scrofa (pig). Its description in RNAcentral is "lncRNA (ENSSSCG00065029241.1)". Lineage: Eukaryota; Metazoa; Chordata; Mammalia; Artiodactyla; Suidae. The record is from RNAcentral.